Brassica napus (rape) is the source of this 1756-nucleotide long non-coding RNA. RefSeq lists it as uncharacterized. The record is from RefSeq and is a predicted model, not a curated record. The transcript is spliced from 2 exons. NCBI's taxonomy places the organism in Eukaryota, Viridiplantae, Streptophyta, Magnoliopsida, Brassicales, Brassicaceae.
ACGACUUCGACUUACCCGGAAGUCGUCUGGAUGAACAUAUCUGGAAAAAAACUAAUUUCAUAGUUUCAACCAGUGAGAUAACUUGUUUAGCACACAAAAGUCUUCUCCAAGCACCCAAAAUCUCAAACAAACGUUACCCACCAAGAAUCAUAAGUUUCAAUUGCUCUAUGAACCAUAAAAUUUUUAGAAUCAAAAUCUUGGGUUUUUUUUGGAUGAAUAUGGAGAGAAAGUAAAGAGAUGUUAUUUUUGGUUUAUAAGAAUUGAGAAAGAAAGAGUAUAAAUCGAUUUUUAGGUGUAUUAAGAGCUUUAAAUUGGUUGUUCACGGUGGUUGGUGUAUUAAUGUCAAUGACAAUAUUGUGAAUACUUGAGGAAAAUAAGGGUGAUUGAGUAAAAUAUGCAUUUUCAAAAAAAAAAAGUGAUGGCAUUUUCGUGAAUAAUCUGAACUUUGGGAGUGAAAAAGAAAAGUCAAAGUUCCAGAAAAACAUGGGUUAAUUUUGUGUUUCACUUCAAGUAUUGAGUCAUAUUUGCAAAAAGCCCAAUAAUUAAAUCUACGGUCUACCAUAUAGAUCCUGGCGGUUUGGUCUUGCGAUCUUUAUGCAAUUCGCACUUGCUCUGGAAAAUUUAUUAUGAGUUGUUUGAAGAAUCCCUGAUUUCAUAUGAGACACGGUUAAAUUUUUAAGCUUGCGAAAGUCAAUCAUUUCACAUGGUUAAAGGACAGUGAGGUGGAGCCGAACAAGAAGAAGAGAGGCGGAGAAGGAGAGAAGAUAGAGACGGCGUAAGUUUUAGUUUUAUAUUUUUUUCUUAAAAAAGUUUAUUUUGGUUUAUUUUGAUGUACCGGUUUAAAUUGGUAACCUAUUUUGAUAUAUAUGUAUAUUUUUAAAAAAUAUUUUUUAAAGUUAUGUUUUAACAAUAUAAGUUAAAUAAUAAUAAGAAAAUAUUAUUUAAAAUACUUAAUUGCACGUAAAAAAUGAUAUAGCAUAUCACAAUACUAAAAAUAAAGGAUCAACUUUAAAUCCCAGAAGAAGUACAAUAAAUCCCAAUAUUUAUAGUUUAAUUUCAUAAAAUCCACAAGUAUACUUACAACUUUAAUAUUUUACAUUUUAAUGUUUACUUUACCAAGUAAAAUGAAUAAAAGCAAAAAAAAAAACACACACACAAUAUCAUAGUUUAUGAAAAUGUCCGGCUAGCUAUUGAAAUGGGCAACCAGCUAUACCAGAAAAUGCCUUUUUAGAAUGUUUUCUUCUAAGAGAAUGAGAAAAGUCGCUAGAAGCCAAAUAUAUUUUUGUUCUUUUUUUUUGAAAAAACUAUAUGAGCUUCGAAGAAGUUCUUGAUGUCUACUAUAGACGAUCCACUAUGUAAUUGUAAAAUAUGACGUACCAAUUUUUUAGUGAUAACAAAAUAUCCUAAUUCAGUAACUUAAAUUAGGCUUGCUAAAUAAAAUUUGCAAAAAUCUGUGCUUAUUUGAUUUUUUCCUAACUUGCUUUCAUUAUUUUUUUUAUGUUUUUGUCUAAAUAAUGUCUCUGUUCUAAAAAAAUAUCAAUAUAAGAACUUUAUAUUCAAUUUUAAAGCCCAUUAUUUAUAGUUUAAUUUCAUAAAACCGACAAGUAUACUUAAAACUCUAAUAUUUUACAUUUUAAUGUUUAAUUUUACCAAGUAAAAAUGAAGAAAAGAACAAUAAAAGAAAAACACAUAUCUCAUGGUUUAUUAAUGGACCCUAAACACAUUGAACAAGAAACAAAUAUGUCAAACUCAAUAA